RNAcentral lists this long non-coding RNA (340 nucleotides) under Trifolium pratense (red clover). Its description in RNAcentral is "long non-coding RNA (TPRA_LNC013274)". The record is from RNAcentral. Lineage: Eukaryota; Viridiplantae; Streptophyta; Magnoliopsida; Fabales; Fabaceae.
GACGGAUUCAGGAAUCUAUAAAACGGGGGCCGGAAUAACUAAAUAAUAAAUAUUAAAUAAAUAAUAAUUAUAAUAGUAUUUAAAUAUACUCAAUAAAAAAUAAAAAAUACAUCAUAUUGUUUAUCUAAAUUGUACACGACAUUGCUCUAUAUCAUAAAAUUCAUCAACAACUAAAUUUGUAUUAAAAUUUUUAGCAAUUCUUCUCUCGGUGUAAGUAAUCACAUAACUAGUUUGAAAUUCAUUUUCUAUCUUGUUUCUCAACCUAUUUUUCACAAUCUUCAUAGCAGAAAAUAAUAUCUCACUUGUAGCAAACAAUCAGAACUAACUUAAUUGAAUUUAG